AGAUGUCAUAUUUGAAGAAAGCAAAGGGUGGAAUUGGAAUAAGGCUAGCACCAGCAAUGGUGGUGAACAAAUCAGUGAAAAUGAAGCAGAUAUAGAGGUUGAAAACAAUGAUACAGAUGCUUUGAAUGAUGAAAACAAUGAAGGAAUAUUGGAAAAUGAGAAUGAAGCAGGUUCUAGUGAUAUGGAUCUUGAGGAUAGUGAAGAAGAACAAGCCAUUUCACCUAGGCCUAGAAAGCCACCAGGUUAUCUAAGAGACUAUGUGACUGGUAAUGAGUUACCAGAUGAUGAUGAUCAGCUUCAGAAUCUUGCUAUAGCU
RNAcentral lists this long non-coding RNA (316 nucleotides) under Trifolium pratense (red clover). RNAcentral's name for it is "long non-coding RNA (TPRA_LNC014007)". The record is from RNAcentral. Lineage: Eukaryota; Viridiplantae; Streptophyta; Magnoliopsida; Fabales; Fabaceae.